This 395-nucleotide ribosomal RNA is filed under the name uncultured bacterium. Its description in RNAcentral is "partial 16S ribosomal RNA". It matches the Rfam family "Bacterial small subunit ribosomal RNA", at positions 523 to 918 of the family's 1533-position model. The record is from RNAcentral.
AUACGUAGGGGGCGAGCGUUGUCCGGAAUGAUUGGGCGUAAAGGGCGCGUAGGCGGCCUGUUAAGUCUGGAGUGAAAGUCCUGUUUUCAAGAUGGGAAUUGCUUUGGAUACUGAUGGGCUUGAGUGCAGGAGAGGUUAUCGGAAUUCCCGGUGUAGCGGUGAAAUGCGUAGAGAUCGAGGAACACCAGUGGCGAAGGCGGGUAACUGGACUGCAACUGACGCUGAGGCGCGAAAGUGUGGGGAGCAAACAGGAUUAGAUACCCUGGUAGUCCACACUGUAAACGAUGAAUGCUAGGUGUAAGAGGUAUCGACCCCUUUUGUGCCGGAGUCAACACAAUAAGCAUUCCGCCUGGGGAGUACGGCCGCAAGGUUGAAACUCAAAUGAAUUGACGGGG